Molecule: non-coding RNA, 24 nt
Filed under: Arabidopsis thaliana (thale cress)
Lineage: Eukaryota; Viridiplantae; Streptophyta; Magnoliopsida; Brassicales; Brassicaceae
Source: RNAcentral
AAGAGAAGGGUAAAACCCUAGAGA